AGGAAGCUUCCUAUCAGACUCUCUGCCUGGCCUGAGAUAUCCAGUUAACACCUGCAAUUCAGAAUACCCUCUCACCCAGCAAUAAAGCAUCCAGCCUUUGCAUCUGUAACAACCUCCUCUGUAAUUUGUGCAUUCUAUGGAUGCUCCAAAUCAUAAUACAAUCCAUCCAUGACUUCAGACAGAUGAAAACAGUUCCUUCUAAAAACAGAGGCUGAUGUUUUUAAAAGACAAUAAGAGAAGAAUGUGAGCUCCCCAUGGCUGCAGUAGAAGGUGCUGGAUGAGAGGAGCAUCUCCAGAGCACGGAAGACAAAGCAGCCUUAUCCUCACCUUUUCCACCUCAAUUUCCAUUUUCCUUCAAGGCAAAACUCCCACUUCUGGCAGAUUAAAUGAAAUGAAGACACUGAGCUCUGCAAGUACACUGCUUUUUGAAUCCCAGAGCUAUUUCAGCCUGGUUAAGAAUCAUUGCUGGGAAACUAGUGUGGUUGUUUGGAGUGAACUUGCUUGUCAAAUGCCUCUUUAAAAAGCGAGUGAAGAUAAUUGCAAGUCAGCUGGAAGUGCUGCCAAGAUAUGACCUCCAGGAAGGCCCAGAAGACAAGUGAUAUUGUGUGGACUGCUACAGCGCAAUGUCUAACUGAUUCAAAAUGAAGAAUCAAUUUGAAAUUAAGAUGAGAAAAGGCAUCCAGCACUUAUAUUAUAGCAAAAAACAUUGUCACCAGGCCCUGGGAAAGAUGAGACCACCUCCCUUCCCUUCUCAGGCUCCCUUUCCCUGUCAGACUGUAGCUCUUAAAGGCUGUCAUCCUCCAAGGGUAUUCCCUAAGUACAGCAUAGCAUCUCUGUUACCCUUUGAAUUCAACAAUAUUGAUCUCCUCCAACAUUUUCAUUCCUUUAGUCAAAAGUCAGCUGUCAAACGCAAGGCACAAGUGCAACUUUAAGGAAUUCAUGGCCAAUAUUUGUCAUGUCAUUUCAUGGAUUGUCUGCAGGCACAUAAAACAUAUAAUGAGGAUACUGAUCCAAGAUACAUGGCACACAAUUAAAUUGUGAAAAAACAUGACUCUGAGUCCAGAAGUUCUUAUUUUUUUGCAGUCUUCAGAGUAUCGUAUAGGCCCCUUGAAAAAUAAAUUUGCAGAGUGUGAAUGUUAAUUUACUUUCACCUUCAGAAAACAGAUUUUCCACAUUUAUAAAAGAGAAAUAGUGACUAUUCUAGACAAUAGAGCCCAGCAAGAAUACUCAAACUAGUAUAACCCUAUUUCUCUAUACCACAAAGACAUCUUGUAGGCAUGUUCCUCUGAAGGACUUGACUUAGAAUUAUGCUUUUUUUCCUCCUUUUCUCUCUAAAAGCAAAAAGCACCAUAAUCUUGCUGUAGUAUAAUCAAAACAGAGUCCGAUGUGAAACCAGAGCCUUGAGUUUUCAUCCUUCAUUUGUUACUUAAAAGUUGACAUAAGAAAAAUUAUUUAACUUCUCUUAACCUCAGUUUCUUAUCUAUAAAAUGGGAUUAUAAAAUGUAUCUCACAAAGUAGUUAUGAGGAUUAAAGGAAAUGGGAAACAUGCUUAUUUGGUUUUGAAUCCUGGUUUGGUCUAACUAUCAAUAAAACUCAUUAAGAUGGAA
This is a long non-coding RNA of Mandrillus leucophaeus (drill), 1607 nucleotides long. RefSeq lists it as uncharacterized. The record is from RefSeq and is a predicted model, not a curated record. The transcript has 5 exons. Lineage: Eukaryota; Metazoa; Chordata; Mammalia; Primates; Cercopithecidae.